GCUCCGGCAGCCUAGUGGUUAGAGCGACAGCCUCGGAUGAUGGAGGUCACGGGUUCAAACCCCUGCCGAGUCA
Non-coding RNA from Potamilus streckersoni, 73 nucleotides. The record is from the annotation of a GenBank genome assembly. NCBI's taxonomy places the organism in Eukaryota, Metazoa, Mollusca, Bivalvia, Unionida, Unionidae.